Long non-coding RNA from Homo sapiens (human), 1729 nucleotides. Ensembl annotates it as p53 upregulated regulator of p53 levels. Its record names the gene PURPL. Lineage: Eukaryota; Metazoa; Chordata; Mammalia; Primates; Hominidae. The record is from Ensembl.
GUGGUGACCUGGGAAUCAAUGUGUGAGGUGGUGCUAUGUAGCAGGAACCCCUCUUGCUUUGCAAAUAGUUUUUUGUUUGUUUUCCUUUUUGCCCAAUAGAGCCCUGCUCUACUGACCCUUCAAUGUGCCCGUGUGCCUAAAUAUUCCUGGUCGUGUGAAAAGAACCCAGGUAUUAGCUGAACUAAGGAGCACAAUUCUGCAACAUUUUGGCACCCAAACACGGGGCUUGAGAAAUGAAUGCAAUUGGAGAAACUGGUUGUUUUACCAGGCGUUGAUUGGAAAUGUGUGCUUCCCUUUAAGCAGUCAAGCUCAACUUGCAGAACUGAUGGGAACCCCUUGGGAAAACUGGCCUCAAAUGUUUGUCUACACAGUCCACAUACAGGGUUCUUAACCUGCGAUGAGGGAAACUUCCCAGGGCUUGUCUGGGUAUGCCCACAGUGGACUGGAGCCCAAAAUGCACACUGGAGGAAGUGGAUGGAGCCACGUGGAUGUCAUGCCUUAUGCAGGGGAGGAGCCUGCUCUCUUCAGCUCCUGUGGUAAUGUGGGAAUCGAUCUGUGAGGAAACACUUUCUGAAAAUGUCAGAACUCUUGAAAACAUGGAUGAGGAAAAGCAUAAGUACUGCUUUAUGCUUUUCUUAUGAAUUUUAAAAGAUGUAAUUUAAAGAGGGGUUUUGCCAUGUUGGCCAAGCUGGUCUCAAACUCCUGACCUCAAGUGAUCCGCCCUGGCUUCCCAAGCCCAGCUGAUUCCUGUUUAAAUAAAAACUUACAAAGAUCUUCCCACAAGUACUUUAUCUUACAAUUUACUGAACAAUAGAGGCAGUGAAGAUGUUUUUCAGAAAGCAAUUGUGAUCCUGACAUUUUCUUCUUAUAAUCCUGUGCUUUCCUCAUUUUUUUAUAUUAAAAGUAAUAGUUCUUGUGAUGGCAACUAGGAUUUGUAACAACAUGUACCCUCAUUUCCUGCAUGACCUUUUUUAUGUCACUUCUUCACAUGCAAAGUAUACUCCCUCAGUGUCAUUACAUUAUUUGAUUUUUGCCCUUUCCCUCACCUUUCCAUGUGUUUAUUUGCCUAUGCCCAUCUCCUAGUCACAUUUUAUCUAGUUAACGCCAACUUGACUUUCAAUGCUGUUCAAGAUUUACCUCAAUCUCAAGUGUUUUCUCUUUAUAUUCCAUACACGCUUAGCUUGGCUGCCAAUCCUCUUGGCUGCCAAAGAAUCCCAAAUUAUCUCUUUCAAAAAUACAAGAAAUAAAGGAUGGAGGAUAGGAAGGAGGGUGGUCAGGAAAGAACAAAGAAAGGAGGGGAGAGGAAAAAAAGAGAGAAAGAAAGAGAAUUAAAGUUAAGGAGGAAGAAUUUCACACUGAAUUAAAAUUGAUAAUAUUCAGGAAUGAUUUUAUAGUAGGCAUACAUUGAUAAAUAUUAGUUAAAUUAAUGAAUUAUUCCAAAAGAUCAUGAUUUGUAAAAAUUACCCUGAAGCACUUUAGGAAUAUUACAUUGAAAUAGGUAUGCAAUUUCUAAAGAAACUGGACUGCAAAAAUAGCCAUUGUGUGUACCUGUGGACCAGAAUAUUAUAUUUUGCUUAAGUUUGAAGUGUUAAAGUGCCCAACGUGCUCUUAUUUUAACCUAGCAAAUUUUCAGCAGAACUUAAGCUCAUAUAGUAUUUGAUUUUUUCAUUUCUCACAACUGUUGGAAUUCUGUUUUAUUGAAAAUUAUACAAUAAAAUGUUAAAAAAUC